CGCCAGGAUACGGUAGCUGGGCUCUCUCUUGUGACGAACGAAGAUGAGAUCAGCAGAUGAUCCCAUUUUAAAAUGGAGUGUCUUUUUUUUUCCUUUUCCGUUUGCUACUCGAUGCAUGAGUACCGUACAUGGGAUCUUCCCUGUAUCUUAACCCUCUUUAAUUCUCUCGUACCCAGACACAGACACGCCUCUCCUUAAACUCUGACGAUUCGCUUUAGGGUGUACAGCAGCAGGGGAGCUUAAAAAUCGAUUUAGACACUUGUACAUUUUUAUAUCUACAGUACAUCAUAAUUUUGUAAAAUCAAGUUGCGGA
RNAcentral lists this long non-coding RNA (313 nucleotides) under Brachypodium distachyon (stiff brome). RNAcentral's name for it is "long non-coding RNA (BDIS_LNC005273)". Lineage: Eukaryota; Viridiplantae; Streptophyta; Magnoliopsida; Poales; Poaceae. The record is from RNAcentral.